AUGGUCCCCCCUCAUCAUUAACAUCUGAUUUUAACGCGUUUUCUUCUCAUUUCACGUGCUCUUCUCAAUUUCUUUGAAGAAUCCGAGCCAUUCAUAAAUGGAUGAUAGUUAAAUGGGAGCCAUAGGAUCGAGAUCUUUGGAUCCUAAGCGUCCAUUUGCCUAAAACCCGUUUACACGAAAAAGGCUUUCGGAUUUUUAGGGAUUUUUUCAGAUUUUGGAGAAAAAUCGGUUUUCUUGGAGAAGAGGUUAGAAGCUUCUGGGUUGGAAUAUAAAAGGAGAUUUUUCGGGCAGAAAAAGAGGAUACGGGAGAAAAUCAGAGAAAAAUUUGGAAAAAAGAGUGUUCUAGAGUUCUAGGGGUGAUUCUUCUCAUAUUUCUAUUUUCCGUUAAGUAGAGUAAUACAAUCAAAAAAGAGUUAGAACAUUUUGGUUAGAGAUCUGUUUUUCAUUUUAAAAAAUCAGAAAACACAAAAAAAAUGUUUAGUUUAGUGCUCUUUGAUUUUCGGCUUUCUUCCUUCAAUUUUGGAUUCCACAUUUUUCGAUUUUGCUCUUUCGACAUGGAAAUUAAUUGAGCCGAAAUCGAGUUUGUCGUUCGAGUUUUGGUCGCUGAUUCGGUUCCUGUCUACCUGCUGCCGUGUCGCUUCUUCAUUUCAAAACUUCAUCGGGAAGUUUAACUUGUAAUCGCUUACAAACGAAAUUAAUCAAAGCCUCGAUCAAACAGGGCUGGAUAACGAAUAUCACAUGUCGUGUGAAAUCAACCAAGCAUAGAGCUAAUACUUUGGUGGAUUAAUCGUGUUGUAGUAGCUGCACGGGGGCGAAGCAAUGUGUGGCCAAUGGUGAUCAACUUAAGCUCUUCGCCGAAAAAUUAUACUUACUAAAAUAUUAGAUUAAAAAAAAUAGACUUUGAAUACCCUUGCAUAGUCCAAUGACAAAGGGUGUUCAAAUUGAAUUUUCUGGCUUCGCCAUUGGUAGCUGCAAUUUCUAGCACAUAUUUCCCACGGUUGGGGCUAGCUAGUUUAUGUUAAUUCUUUCAUCAAAUUUCUCACUUUGUCAGAUGUAUUGGAUGGAGAAAUUAAAAUGCAAUCUUGUUUUUUUUUUCUUUUCA
Nicotiana tabacum (common tobacco) is the source of this 1102-nucleotide long non-coding RNA. RefSeq lists it as uncharacterized. NCBI's taxonomy places the organism in Eukaryota, Viridiplantae, Streptophyta, Magnoliopsida, Solanales, Solanaceae. The record is from RefSeq and is a predicted model, not a curated record.